GACGAACGCUGGCGGCGUGCUUAACACAUGCAAGUCGAACGGAAAGGCCCUGCUUUUGUGGGGUGCUCGAGUGGCGAACGGGUGAGUAACACGUGAGUAACCUGCCCUUGACAUUGGGAUAUCUUCAGGACACUGGGGCUAAUACCGGAUAGGAGCUACUGCUGCAUGGUGGGGGUUGGAAAGUUUCGGCGGUUGGGGAUGGACUCGCGGCUUAUCAGCUUGUUGGUGGGGUAGUGGCUUACCAAGGCUUUGACGGGUAGCCGGCCUGAGAGGGGGACCGGCCACAUUGGGACUGAGGUACGGCCCAGACUCCUACGGGAGGCAGCAGUGGGGAAGAUUGCACAAUGGGCGGAAGCCGGAUGCAGCAGCGCUGCGUGCGGGAUGACGGCCGUCGAGUGGUAAACCGCUUUCGCCUGUGACGAAGCGGGAGUGACGGUAAUUGGUAAAGAAGCACCGGCUAACUACGUG
RNAcentral lists this ribosomal RNA (468 nucleotides) under uncultured bacterium. RNAcentral's name for it is "partial 16S ribosomal RNA". It matches the Rfam family "Bacterial small subunit ribosomal RNA", at positions 28 to 507 of the family's 1533-position model. The record is from RNAcentral.